This 301-nucleotide ribosomal RNA is filed under the name uncultured bacterium. RNAcentral describes it as "partial 16S ribosomal RNA". It matches the Rfam family "Bacterial small subunit ribosomal RNA", at positions 509 to 807 of the family's 1533-position model. The record is from RNAcentral.
CAGUCGCCGCGGGAAUACAGAGGGUGCGAGCGUUAAUCGGAUUUACUGGGCGUAAAGCGUGCGUAGGCGGCUUCUUAAGUCGGAUGUGAAAUCCCUGAGCUUAACUUAGGAAUUGCAUUCGAUACUGGGAAGCUAGAGUAUGGGAGAGGAUGGUAGAAUUCCAGGUGUAGCGGUGAAAUGCGUAGAGAACUGGAGGAAUACCGAUGGCGAAGGCAGCCAUCUGGCCUAAUACUGACGCUGAGGUACGAAAGCAUGGGGAGCAAACAGGAUUAGAUACCCCCGUAGUCCCUGUCUCUUAUAC